CGGGGCGUAGCUCAGUUUGGCUAGAGCGUUUGGUUUGGGACCAAAAGGCCACAGGUUCAAGUCCUGUCGCCCCGA
This 75-nucleotide transfer RNA is filed under the name Candidatus Omnitrophota bacterium. RNAcentral's name for it is "tRNA-Pro". It matches the Rfam family "tRNA". Rfam says of the family: Transfer RNA (tRNA) molecules are approximately 80 nucleotides in length. Lineage: Bacteria; Pseudomonadati; Candidatus Omnitrophota. The record is from RNAcentral.